RNAcentral lists this long non-coding RNA (879 nucleotides) under Equus caballus (horse). RNAcentral describes it as "lncRNA (ENSECAG00000043265.2)". Lineage: Eukaryota; Metazoa; Chordata; Mammalia; Perissodactyla; Equidae. The record is from RNAcentral.
GAGCUCUCUGCCAAAAAAGAUAAAGCAUAUUACUGCAGUUUUGUGCUAAUAAACCUUGCAAAGCAGUGAGAUUUUCUAAUUUUCUAGUUCUUGUUUUUCAUAGCAAUAUCUGUUGACCUAAACCUGGCAUUCAGCAUAGCAUAUAUGUGCCAGAAAUUGCAGAGGUGGACAAGAGCAGAAAAGGAGUUCCUGAUUCUUUCCAGGCAUCUAAGCUGAGAUAGUCAUGAAUUUCGAUGGUACUCAAAGAAGAAGAGGAAAUUUCAGCACAUCUAUUCUUUCAACAUGUCUGAUAUUUUGGGAACAAACCUUGAAGUGGUGCACAGUUCAGGCACAAGGUCAUUUGAGGUUUGACUCCAUUGUCACUCUGGACCACACCUUCCAUUUUGCCUCAAUAGGACUUAGGUCAACCAAGCACAGUGAGAGUUAAAACAAAAAUCUCAAGACAAAAAUCUUGAUAGAGUCACCACUUUUUUGUUUCAAAAAUGUGUUUUUAUUUCUAUUGACACAUAUUUCAAGAGAGAACAGGAACUGAAUAAAAAAUCACUGUAUUCACUAAAAGAGAUAUCUUCCUAUUGCCUUGUUACAGAUAGUUUUUUUUUGAACCGCUAGUUGCUAAAACUAAUGAUUACCUCUGGCCUCAGUUGGAAAUAACCUACUAUCCAAUUAUAGUUUCCAGAACAGUUCCCUUCUCCUCUUUAGAGCAGAAGGCAACAGCAGUAACAGGUAAUUAGCAAGAACUGGAAGGACGGCAUAUUUUCUACACUGGGUGACAAUAUUGAGUUCAAUUGAGUGAAAGAAACAUUGAGUGAUUACAAUUGUUCAAUCUUCCAGUUCACUGAUUAUGUCUUUGCCUUCCCAUACUACUGUUGAGCCCAUCCG